AGUGAACGCUGGCGGCAGGCCUAACACAUGCAAGUCGAGCGGCAGCGGGUCCUUCGGGAUGCCGGCGAGCGGCGGACGGGUGAGGAAUGCAUCGGAAUCUGCCCUGUCGUGGGGGAUAACCUAGGGAAACUUAGGCUAAUACCGCAUACGACCCACGGGUGAAAGCGGGGGAUCGCAAGACCUCGCGCGAUAGGAUGAGCCGUUGUCCGAUUAGCUAGUUGGCGGGGUAAAGGCCCACCAAGGCGACGAUCGGUAGCUGGUCUGAGAGGAUGAUCAGCCACACUGGGACUGAGACACGGCCCAGACUCCUACGGGAGGCAGCAGUGGGGAAUAUUGGACAAUGGGCGCAAGCCUGAUCCAGCCAUGCCGCGUGGGUGAAGAAGGCCUUCGGGUUGUAAAGCCCUUUUGUCCGGGAAGAAAUCGUCUGGGCUAAUACCCCGGGCGGAUGACGGUACCGGAAGAAUAAGCACCGGCUAACUUCGCG
Molecule: ribosomal RNA, 484 nt
Filed under: uncultured bacterium
Lineage: Bacteria
Description: partial 16S ribosomal RNA
Rfam family: Bacterial small subunit ribosomal RNA
Source: RNAcentral